Molecule: ribosomal RNA, 279 nt
Filed under: uncultured bacterium
Lineage: Bacteria
Description: partial 16S ribosomal RNA
Rfam family: Bacterial small subunit ribosomal RNA
Source: RNAcentral
UGCCAGCCGCCGCGGUAAUACGGAGGAUCCAAGCGUUAUCCGGAAUUAUUGGGUUUAAAGGGUCCGUAGGUGGUUAUUUAAGUCAGAGGUGAAAUCCUGCCGCUUAACGGCAGAACUGCCUUUGAUACUGAUUAACUUGAGUUAUUGUGAAGUAGUUAGAAUAUGUAGUGUAGCGGUGAAAUGCAUAGAUAUUACAUAGAAUACCGAUUGCGAAGGCAGAUUACUAACAAUAUACUGACACUGAGGGACGAAAGCGUGGGUAGCGAACAGGAUUAGAUA